CCUACGGGUGGCAGCAGUGGGGAAUAUUGCACAAUGGGGGAAACCCUGAUGCAGUGACGCCGCGUGAGUGAAGAAGUAUCUCGGUACGUAAAGCUCUAUCAGCAGGGAAGAAAAUGACGGUAACUGACUAAGAAGCCUCGGCCAACCACGGGCCAGGAGCCGCGGUAAAACGUAGGGGACAAGCGUUAUCCGGAUUUACUGGGUGUAAAGGGAGCGUAGACGGCAGCACAAGUCUGGAGUGAAAUCCCGGGGCUUAACCCCGGAACUGCUUUGGAAACUGUGCGGCUUGAGUGCAGGAGGGGUAAGCGGAAUUCCUAGUGUAGCGGUGAAAUGCGUAGAUAUUAGGAGGAACACCAGUGGCGAAGGCGGCUUACUGGACUGUAACUGACGUUGAGGCUCGAAAGCGUGGGGAGCAAACAGGAUUAGAUACCCCUGUAGUC
Molecule: ribosomal RNA, 440 nt
Filed under: uncultured bacterium
Lineage: Bacteria
Description: partial 16S ribosomal RNA
Rfam family: Bacterial small subunit ribosomal RNA
Source: RNAcentral